CACAGACCCCUUUUCUCGUAGAUCUGC
Molecule: non-coding RNA, 27 nt
Filed under: Mus musculus (house mouse)
Lineage: Eukaryota; Metazoa; Chordata; Mammalia; Rodentia; Muridae
Source: RNAcentral